This is a long non-coding RNA of Oreochromis aureus, 567 nucleotides long. RefSeq lists it as uncharacterized. The transcript has 3 exons. The record is from RefSeq and is a predicted model, not a curated record. Lineage: Eukaryota; Metazoa; Chordata; Actinopteri; Cichliformes; Cichlidae.
CUGGUCUAAGAAGGGAGCUCUUGGUGAGGAGAUGGAAGACCUCCUGGAUAAACUUGAUGAACAGACAUCCAACACUGUGUCCAACGGGCACUGAGAGGCCUGCCCAUUUUCCUCAAGAGAAGAUGCAACAGAGGUUUUCCUGAAGUGCUUAGACACUGACAUUUUGGAACCAGUGUUGAACGGUGCAUCAGUUGCCAUCCUCACCAUCCUACAAGAUGACGAUGCUGAUACAUCUGUGCGAGAACAUGCAGUUGUGUUGGAAGGGGACAUUGUGCUACAUAACAUUCCAGAUCUCUCUACUGCCCUGGCACACCUCUUUGGCCUUCUGUAUGCCCUCAACAUUGAUUAUCCAAAGCAGAUGAGUUUUACCUUUGAAGCAAUUCAGGCCAUCUUAUUUUGGCCUGGUCGGACAAUAUGAAGGUGAAGUGGAUAAAUCAUUAUUCGAAAUGUAAAUUUUAGUCAGAUGAAUCUGUAUUGUUGAGAAUAUAUGGUGAAAAUUUGUCUUGUAGUAUUUUAAAAGAUUUGUUAUAGUGUUAGUUUCCUCUUCAUUGAUGGUAACAUUUCUAA